Molecule: ribosomal RNA, 301 nt
Filed under: uncultured bacterium
Lineage: Bacteria
Description: partial 16S ribosomal RNA
Rfam family: Bacterial small subunit ribosomal RNA
Source: RNAcentral
CAGUAGCCGCGGUAAUACGUAGGUGGCAAGCGUUGUCCGGAAUUAUUGGGCGUAAGGGCUCGCAGGCGGUUUCUUAAGUCUGAUGUGAAAGCCCCCGGCUCAACCGGGGAGGGUCAUUGGAAACUGGGAAACUUGAGUGCAGAAGAGGAGAGUGGAAUUCCACGUGCAGCGGUGAAAUGCGUAGAGAUGUGGAGGAACACCAGUGGCGAAGGCGACUCUCUGGUCUGUAACUGACGCUGAGGAGCGAAAGCGUGGGGAGCGAACAGGAUUAGAUACCCCGGUAGUCCCUGUCUCUUAUACA